RNAcentral lists this ribosomal RNA (497 nucleotides) under uncultured bacterium. RNAcentral describes it as "partial 16S ribosomal RNA". It matches the Rfam family "Bacterial small subunit ribosomal RNA", at positions 28 to 507 of the family's 1533-position model. The record is from RNAcentral.
GAUGAACGCUGGCGGCGUGCCUAAUACAUGCAAGUCGAGCGAACGGACGAGAAGCUUGCUUCUCUGAUGUUAGCGGCGGUCGGGUGAGUAACACGUGGAUAACCUACCUAUAAGACUGGGAUAACUUCGGGAAACCGGAGCUAAUACCGGAUAAUAUUUUGAACCGCAUGGUUCAAAAGUGAAAGACGGUCUUGCUGUCACUUAUAGAUGGAUCCGCGCUGCAUUAGCUAGUUGGUAAGGUAACGGCUUACCAAGGCAACGAUGCAUAGCCGACCUGAGAGGGUGAUCGGCCACACUGGAACUGAGACACGGUCCAGACUCCUACGGGAGGCAGCAGUAGGGAAUCUUCCGCAAAGGGCGAAAGCCUGACGGAGCAACGCCGCGUGAGUGAUGAAGGUCUUCGGAUCGUAAAACUCUGUUAUUAGGGAAGAACAUAUGUGUAAGUAACUGUGCACAUCUUGACGGUACCUAAUCAGAAAGCCACGGCUAACUACGUG